RNAcentral lists this ribosomal RNA (507 nucleotides) under uncultured bacterium. Its description in RNAcentral is "partial 16S ribosomal RNA". It matches the Rfam family "Bacterial small subunit ribosomal RNA", at positions 28 to 507 of the family's 1533-position model. The record is from RNAcentral.
GACGAACGCUGGCGGCGUGCCUAAUACAUGCAAGUCGAACGCAUUUUCUUUCAUGGUAGCUUGCUACACCGAACGAAAGUGAGUGGCGAACGGGGGAGUAACACGUGGGUAACUUGACCAUCAGCGGGGGAUAAGACUUGGAAACAGGUGCUAAUCGCGCCUAAUUCCAUUUACCGCUUGGUAGAUGGUUGAACGGCGUUUUUGGCUCACUGAGGGAUGGAUCCGCGGUACAUUCGCUCGUUGGUGGGGUCACGGCCUACCAAGGCUGCGAUGCAUAGCGGACCCUAGAGUGUGAUCGGCCUCACUGGGACUGAGACACGGCCCAGGCUCCUGCGGGAGGCAGCAGUAGUGAAGCUUCGGCAACUGAGGCAAGUCUGACCGAGCAACGCCGCGCGGGUGAAGAAGGUUCUCGGAUUGUAAAACUCGGUUGUUAGAGAAGAACAAGGAUGAGAGUGGAACGUUCAGCCCUUGACGGUAUCUAACCAGAAAGCCACGGCUAACUACGCG